This 711-nucleotide ribosomal RNA is filed under the name uncultured Pseudomonas sp. Its description in RNAcentral is "bacterial SSU rRNA". It matches the Rfam family "Bacterial small subunit ribosomal RNA", at positions 51 to 757 of the family's 1533-position model. The record is from RNAcentral. Lineage: Bacteria; Pseudomonadati; Pseudomonadota; Gammaproteobacteria; Pseudomonadales; Pseudomonadaceae.
ACACAUGCAAGUCGAGCGGAUGACGGGAGCUUGCUCCUUGAUUCAGCGGCGGACGGGUGAGUAAUGCCUAGGAAUCUGCCUGGUAGUGGGGGACAACGUUUCGAAAGGAACGCUAAUACCGCAUACGUCCUACGGGAGAAAGCAGGGGACCUUCGGGCCUUGCGCUAUCAGAUGAGCCUAGGUCGGAUUAGCUAGUUGGUGAGGUAAUGGCUCACCAAGGCGACGAUCCGUAACUGGUCUGAGAGGAUGAUCAGUCACACUGGAACUGAGACACGGUCCAGACUCCUACGGGAGGCAGCAGUGGGGAAUAUUGGACAAUGGGCGAAAGCCUGAUCCAGCCAUGCCGCGUGUGUGAAGAAGGUCUUCGGAUUGUAAAGCACUUUAAGUUGGGAGGAAGGGCAGUAAGUUAAUACCUUGCUGUUUUGACGUUACCGAGAGAAUAAGCACCGGCUAACUCUGUGCCAGCAGCCGCGGUAAUACAGAGGGUGCAAGCGUUAAUCGGAAUUACUGGGCGUAAAGCGCGCGUAGGUGGUUCGUUAAGUUGGAUGUGAAAGCCCCGGGCUCAACCUGGGAACUGCAUCCAAAACUGGCGAGCUAGAGUAUGGUAGAGGGUGGUGGAAUUUCCUGUGUAGCGGUGAAAUGCGUAGAUAUAGGAAGGAACACCAGUGGCGAAGGCGACCACCUGGACUGAUACUCACACUGAGGUGCGAA